CUUCUACAGCCUUCCCUGGAGUCACUACCUUCUACACAGUGCCUAAGAGCGAGCCCAUGAAACAUUCAUGGUGGCUAAUCCACUGUGGAGGACCUGCUGAUGCCUGUCCUGAUAGAACUGGCAGGCCCUACAUGGUGGGAGAACCAAGCCCUACAAGUUGUCCUCUGACAUCUACCAGUGCCAUGGUGCGCCUGUGCACAUGUUAAAUAAUCUCUACAAAAUCAUCACAGGGACAGCAAGGAAUCCCAAAGCGGUUUGACUUGAACACACGUCAAAGAGUCUUCCAAUAACUUCUGGGCCGUGCUAUUGGACGAUCUCAGAUGCACACACUGGAGUAGGCUGGACCUCGGGAAAGGAAAAUGGUUCACCACCUCGUGCUUCAAGUGCUCAUUGACCUGGGUAGUUAGUGUACUAGGCAGUUAGACCAGAAUAGUUUGGGCAUCUGUCAUACUCUGUUAGUGGCAUGAGGUCAAGGAUGAGGGAAUGGUAUGGAUGUUUCUAGAGAUCCACAAUCACUUACCUCAUUUUGUCUAAGGGGUUGAGUUUUCAGGGUCUAGGAUCUUUUAAGAAAAUUUUGUG
RNAcentral lists this long non-coding RNA (579 nucleotides) under Rattus norvegicus (Norway rat). Its description in RNAcentral is "long non-coding RNA NONRATT003843". Lineage: Eukaryota; Metazoa; Chordata; Mammalia; Rodentia; Muridae. The record is from RNAcentral.